RNAcentral lists this ribosomal RNA (519 nucleotides) under uncultured Paraglomus. Its description in RNAcentral is "SSU rRNA". It matches the Rfam family "Eukaryotic small subunit ribosomal RNA", at positions 569 to 1093 of the family's 1831-position model. The record is from RNAcentral. Lineage: Eukaryota; Fungi; Glomeromycota; Glomeromycetes; Paraglomerales; Paraglomeraceae.
AGCAGCCGCGGUAAUUCCAGCUCCAAUAGCGUAUAUUAAAGUUGUUGCAGUUAAAAAGCUCGUAGUUGAACUUCAGGCCUGGCUGGGCGGUCCGCCUUCCGGGUGAGUACUGCCUGUGGUCGGGUCCUACCUUCUGGCGAAGCGUCAUGGCCUUAACCGGCCGUGGCGGGGAACCAGGACUUUUACUGUGAAAAAUUAGAGUGUUCAAAGCAGGCACGCGCUUGAAUACAUUAGCAUGGAAUAAUGGAAUAGGACAGUGGUUCUAUUUGUUGGUUUCUAGGACCGUUGUAAUGAUUAAUAGGGAUAGUUGGGGGCAUUAGUAUUCAAUUGUCAGAGGUGAAAUUCUUGGAUUUAUUGAAGACUAACUACUGCGAAAGCAUUUGCCAAGGAUGUUUUCAUUAAUCAAGAACGAAAGUUAGGGGAUCGAAGACGAUCAGAUACCGUCGUAGUCUUAACCAUAAACUAUGCCGACUAGGAAUCGGGCGAUGUUGACAAAAUGACGCGCUCGGCACCUCAUAC